This 425-nucleotide ribosomal RNA is filed under the name uncultured bacterium. Its description in RNAcentral is "partial 16S ribosomal RNA". It matches the Rfam family "Bacterial small subunit ribosomal RNA", at positions 354 to 796 of the family's 1533-position model. The record is from RNAcentral.
GUGGGGAAUAUUGGACAAUGGGCGCAAGCCUGAUCCAGCCAUGCCGCGUGAGUGAUGAAGGCCCUAGGGUUGUAAAGCUCUUUCACCGGUGAAGAUAAUGACGGUAACCGGAGAAGAAGCCCCGGCUAACUUCGUGCCAGCAGCCGCGGUAAUACGAAGGGGGCUAGCGUUGUUCGGAAUUACUGGGCGUAAAGCGCACGUAGGCGGACAUUUAAGUCAGGGGUGAAAUCCCGGGGCUCAACCCCGGAACUGCCUUUGAUACUGGGUGUCUCGAGUCCGGAAGAGGUGAGUGGAAUUCCGAGUGUAGAGGUGAAAUUCGUAGAUAUUCGGAGGAACACCAGUGGCGAAGGCGACUCACUGGUCCGGUACUGACGCUGAGGUGCGAAAGCGUGGGGAGCAAACAGGAUUAGAUACCCUUGUAGUCC